This 470-nucleotide ribosomal RNA is filed under the name uncultured bacterium. Its description in RNAcentral is "bacterial SSU rRNA". It matches the Rfam family "Bacterial small subunit ribosomal RNA", at positions 335 to 797 of the family's 1533-position model. The record is from RNAcentral.
CACCUACGGGAGGCAGCAGUGGGGAAUUGUUCGCAAUGGGCGCAAGCCUGACGACGCAACGCCGCGUGGAGGAUGAAGAUCUUCGGGUCGUAAACUCCUUUCGAUCGAGACGAAUGGCCCUUGGGUUAACAGCCGAAGGGAAUGACGGUACCGAGAGAAGAAGCCCCGGCUAACUCCGUGCCAGCAGCCGCGGUAAUACGGGGGGGGCAAGCGUUGUUCGGAAUUACUGGGCGUAAAGGGCUCGUAGGUGGCCAACUAAGUCAGACGUGAAAUCCCUCGGCUUAACCGGGGAACGGCGUCUGAUACUGGAUGGCUUGAGUUUGGGAGAGGGACGCGGAAUUCCAGGUGUAGCGGUGAAAUGCGUAGAUAUCUGGAGGAACACCGGUGGCGAAGGCGGCGUCCUGGACCAACACUGACACUGAUGAGCGAAAGCCAGGGGAGCAAACGGGAUUAGAUACCCCGGUAGUCUU